This 1022-nucleotide long non-coding RNA is filed under the name Sus scrofa (pig). RNAcentral's name for it is "lncRNA (ENSSSCG00065071174.1)". The stretch from base 874 to 1004 matches the Rfam family "Small nucleolar RNA SNORA71". Lineage: Eukaryota; Metazoa; Chordata; Mammalia; Artiodactyla; Suidae. The record is from RNAcentral.
GCUGCAGGACGGUGUGCGCAGGGUCGGCCCCGGCCGCCGCCGCUCUAGGCCUCAGGCGUCCACCUCAGCUGCACUUCCGCCGGCGCUGCGUGUUUGGAGCAGUGUUCCGCUCUCGUGGCUGCACUUUCCGCGUGUCCUCCCAAUCUGCCGGCAUCCGCGCACCUCCGCGCCUUCCCACACUCUUGGCUGUAUCUCCGCCGUUGUCCCCUGCGGUCUGUUGCAGCCUCCUCGGCCCUGCGCAGAUGAAGACCCUCCCCCGGACGGCUUUGCGGGCCCUGCCUCAGCCGGCGCCCCCUUCUCUCCUGCAGGACCCGGACCCGCGCUGCAGGGGCUGAGUGCCCCCUGGGUAAGUGCUGCUGCUCCUGGGGCUGUGGCCUUCCUGCCCCAGCGCAGCGGGGUGGUUCUGGGGCUCCGGGGGGCGGGGGGAAUGUGGGAGUUGUCUGCCAAGUCCUGGUGCAGGAGGAUGGGGCUGGGACUGGGGGCCAGAAGGGCCUGGGGUCAGAGCCUGACUCAGCUCGUCGUUAUCUGUGGGAUCUGGGGUGAGUUAUUUCUUUCUCCUGAGCUUUACUUUCUUUGGAGUGGGAGUUGGGGCGGGGGGCAGAGACCUGGUCUGUGUUUUCCUUUUUGACCCCAUAAUGCCUGGUCCACAGUAGGUACUCAGCUGGUAUUUGUGGGGUGAUAAGCAAUUGAGGCAUUGUCAUCUGAAGUUGGUCUUCCCCAGCCCUGACUUGAUGAGGGGAGAUGGGCUGUUGCCAUGAAGUGAGGGUGGCCCUUGGGGUCCUGGGUCUGGCUGGGCCUGUUUCCCCAGGCUGGGUGGAGAGCCGGCUGCUGAUGUGGGCUCCUCUGCUUGGCUCUCCUCGUGCCCUUCUUUGCCCCAGCCUUUGAAAGUGGUCAUGGGCUGCCUGUGCCCCAGUCGUUGAUAGCACAGGGAGAGGACCUGCUGAAAGCACUUCCCCGUUUGGAGGUCCUGUUCCGUCCCUUAGAAACUCUGGAGCUUUCCCACACUUUCCCCCUCCCACCGC